RNAcentral lists this ribosomal RNA (450 nucleotides) under uncultured bacterium. RNAcentral describes it as "partial 16S ribosomal RNA". It matches the Rfam family "Bacterial small subunit ribosomal RNA", at positions 354 to 796 of the family's 1533-position model. The record is from RNAcentral.
GUGGGGAAUUUUGGACAAUGGGCGCAAGCCUGAUCCAGCAAUGCCGCGUGCAGGAAGAAGGCCUUCGGGUUGUAAACUGCUUUUGUACGGAACGAAAAGGCUCUGGUUAAUACCUGGGGCUCAUGACGGUACCGUAAGAAUAAGCACCGGCUAACUACGUGCCAGCAGCCGCGGUAAUACGUAGGGUGCAAGCGUUAAUCGGAAUUACUGGGCGUAAAGCGUGCGCAGGCGGUUUUGUAAGACAGACGUGAAAUCCCCGGGCUCAACCUGGGAAUGGCGUUUGUGACUGCAAAGCGGGAGUGCGGCAGAGGGGGAUGGAAUUCCGCGUGUAGCAGUGAAAUGCGUAGAUAUGCGGAGGAACACCGAUGGCGAAGGCAAUCCCCUGGGCCUGCACUGACGCUCAUGCACGAAAGCGUGGGGAGCAAACAGGAUUAGAUACCCGGGUAGUCC